CCUACGGGAGGCUGCAGUGGGGAAUAUUGGACAAUGGGCGAAAGCCUGAUCCAGCCAUGCCGCGUGUGUGAAGAAGGCCUUCGGGUUGUAAAGCACUUUCAGUGGGGAAGAAAGCCUUGGGGCUAAUACCCUCGAGGAAGGACAUCACCCACAGAAGAAGCACCGGCUAACUCCGUGCCAGCAGCCGCGGUAAUACGGAGGGUGCGAGCGUUAAUCGGAAUUACUGGGCGUAAAGCGCGCGUAGGCGGUCUGAUAAGCCGGUUGUGAAAGCCCCGGGCUCAACCUGGGAACGGCAUCCGGAACUGUCAGGCUAGAGUACAGGAGAGGAAGGUAGAAUUCCCGGUGUAGCGGUGAAAUGCGUAGAGAUCGGGAGGAAUACCAGUGGCGAAGGCGGCCUUCUGGACUGACACUGACGCUGAGGUGCGAAAGCGUGGGUAGCAAACAGGAUUAGAUACCCUAGUAGUC
RNAcentral lists this ribosomal RNA (465 nucleotides) under Vreelandella stevensii. RNAcentral's name for it is "partial 16S ribosomal RNA". It matches the Rfam family "Bacterial small subunit ribosomal RNA", at positions 338 to 795 of the family's 1533-position model. The record is from RNAcentral. Lineage: Bacteria; Pseudomonadati; Pseudomonadota; Gammaproteobacteria; Oceanospirillales; Halomonadaceae.